RNAcentral lists this long non-coding RNA (209 nucleotides) under Salvia miltiorrhiza (redroot sage). RNAcentral's name for it is "long non-coding RNA (SMIL_LNC013668)". The record is from RNAcentral. Lineage: Eukaryota; Viridiplantae; Streptophyta; Magnoliopsida; Lamiales; Lamiaceae.
GAGAAACAAAACUCCCGGAAUAAUACAACAAAAUAAUGAAUUUCGUAAGCGAAUUGUCGUCCCAAGAAAUAGCAUAUGAAAUAACGAAUCAGGCAUAUGAAAUAACGAAUAGCAGGCAUAUGAAAUUAAGAAGAAGAAUUCCAGCUAAAAGAGAAAUGAAAUCAGGGCAAGAUUAAACGAACCGAUUCACGACGAGAGAGGUCGACGGG